This 328-nucleotide ribosomal RNA is filed under the name uncultured eukaryote. RNAcentral describes it as "partial 18S ribosomal RNA". It matches the Rfam family "Eukaryotic small subunit ribosomal RNA", at positions 1470 to 1796 of the family's 1831-position model. The record is from RNAcentral.
CCCUUAGAUGUCCUGGGCCGCACGCGCGUUACACUGAUGCAUUCAACGAGCUUAUAACCUUGGCCGAGAGGCCCGGGCAAUCUUGUUAACGUGCAUCGUGAUAGGGAUAGAUUAUUGAAAUUAUCAAUCUUGAACGAGGAAUUCCUAGUAAACGCAGAUCAUCAAUCUGCAUUGAUUACGUCCCUGCCCUUUGUACACACCGCCCGUCGCACCUACCGAUUGGAUGGUCCGGUGAAGCCUCGGGAUUGUGGUUCUUGCCGCUUUAUUGUGGCGUGACCGCGAGAACUUGUCUAAACCUUAUCAUCUAGAGGAAGGUGAAGUCGUAACA